This 493-nucleotide ribosomal RNA is filed under the name uncultured bacterium. RNAcentral describes it as "partial 16S ribosomal RNA". It matches the Rfam family "Bacterial small subunit ribosomal RNA", at positions 29 to 523 of the family's 1533-position model. The record is from RNAcentral.
AUUGAACGCUGGCGGCAUGCUUUACACAUGCAAGUCGAACGGUAACAGGUUAAGCUGACGAGUGGCGAACGGGUGAGUAAUGCAUCGGAACGUGUCCGGACGUGGGGGAUAACGCAGCGAAAGCUGCGCUAAUACCGCAUACGAGCUAAGGAUUAAAGCGGGGGACCGUAAGGCCCCGCGCGAUCGGAGCGGCCGAUGUCAGUUUAGGUAGUGGGUGGGGUAAAGGCUCACCAAGCCAACGAUCUGUAGCUGGUCUGAGAGGAAGACCAGCCACACUGGGACUGAGACACGGCCCAGACUCCUACGGGAGGCAGCAGUGGGGAAUUUUGGACAAUGGGCGAAAGCCUGAUCCAGCAAUGCCGCGUGCAGGAAGAAGGCCUUCGGGUUGUAAACUGCUUUUGUACGGAGCGAAAAGGUCUCCUCUAAUACAGGGGGCUCAUGACGGUACCGUAAGAAUAAGCACCGGCUAACUACGUGCCAGCCGCCGCAGUAA